CCGGUGUAGUAGUUUGGAGCAGAAUAGUACUUGGGAGCAUCAGUAUAGUAAGCUGGAACAGCGUAGGUUUUAGUUUAAUACUCUGGAACUUUGGUGGUGUAGU
Daphnia pulicaria is the source of this 103-nucleotide long non-coding RNA. RefSeq lists it as uncharacterized. The transcript is spliced from 3 exons. NCBI's taxonomy places the organism in Eukaryota, Metazoa, Arthropoda, Branchiopoda, Diplostraca, Daphniidae. The record is from RefSeq and is a predicted model, not a curated record.